Molecule: ribosomal RNA, 260 nt
Filed under: uncultured bacterium
Lineage: Bacteria
Description: partial 16S ribosomal RNA
Rfam family: Bacterial small subunit ribosomal RNA
Source: RNAcentral
UACGAAGGGGGGCUAGCGUUGCUCGGAAUGACUGGGCGUAAAGGGCGCGUAGGCGGUUUGUACAGUCAGGUGUGAAAAUUCCCCGGGCUCAACCUGGGGGGCUGCACUUGAUACGUAGGAACUGGAGUGGGGGAAGAGGGGUCGUGGAAUUCCCAGUGUAGAGGUGAAAAUUCGUAGAUAUUGGGAAGAACACCGGUGGCGAAGGCGGCGACCUGGUCCUUGACUGACGCUGAGGCGCGAAAGCCAGGGGAGCAAACGGG